This 147-nucleotide ribosomal RNA is filed under the name Saprolegnia sp. F-1561.8. RNAcentral describes it as "5.8S ribosomal RNA". It matches the Rfam family "5.8S ribosomal RNA". From Rfam's summary of the family: 5.8S ribosomal RNA (5.8S rRNA) is a component of the large subunit of the eukaryotic ribosome. It is transcribed by RNA polymerase I as part of the 45S precursor that also contains 18S and 28S rRNA. The record is from RNAcentral. Lineage: Eukaryota; Oomycota; Saprolegniomycetes; Saprolegniales; Saprolegniaceae.
CAACUUUCAACAGUGGAUGUCUAGCCUCGCACCCCGAUGAAGAACGCUGCGAACUGCGAUACGUAAUGCGAAUUGCAGAAUUCAGUCAGUCAUCAAAAUUUUGAACGCAUAUUGCACUUCCGGGUUAGUCCUGGGAGUAUGUUUGUA